RNA transcript from Juglans microcarpa x Juglans regia, 1765 nucleotides. RefSeq lists it as uncharacterized. The transcript has 6 exons. NCBI's taxonomy places the organism in Eukaryota, Viridiplantae, Streptophyta, Magnoliopsida, Fagales, Juglandaceae. The record is from RefSeq and is a predicted model, not a curated record.
GAGGCUGAGAAUCGCCCAUUUCAGAAUGAAUCACCGCCUAGAUUUCCUCAACCCCACCUCGCUCUCUUCCGCACCAAAAUCCCAAACAAAAUAUCCCCAACCUUCUACUCUUUCCCCACGAAAACCCAUAAAUCCAAUCCUCCGACUCCGACUCCGACUCCAACUCCAUGGCCGCGUCUUCCUUCGUGGAAGCCACCCCGUUGAAAUGGAAGCAAACCUUCCCAUUUCAGCUCCCCCUCCUCAUCUACUCCCAACCAGCACCACCUCCUUCACCAGACCCAUUAAAUUUGGCAGCGGAAUCUUGUAUUUAAAGCUCCAAGGCUCCCCUAGAUAUAGCGUUAAAUGCUUCCUUGUCGCGAAGAAUAAGCAUUUAACUGACCGGGACUUUGACAAUUCUGUCUCGCUUUAUAAUGAAAACUGCCGGAAUCCGUUUGAAAUUAUUGCAAAUUCUGUAUAUAACAUCAUAAAGGCAUUGAGAAAACCCGCGAUUGCCGCGGUGCUGUUGGGGUUGCUAUUAAUGUACGAUCCCAAUUCAGCGUUGGCGGCCUCUGGAGGUCGAAUGGGUGGGAGGUCGUUUUCCUCGCGGUCUUCAUCCUCUUCUUCGUCGUCGAGGAGUUAUUCCGUGCCGAAGACGUCGAGCCCGGGGUAUUCUUACACGGUGCCGUAUUAUGCGCCAUCACCUUUCGGUUUUAGCGGUGGCGGCGGCGGAUUCUACGUGGGGCCGGCUGUCGGGGUCGGCGUGGGAGGUGCGUCGAGUUUCUUUUUGAUUCUAAUGGGUUUCGCGGCGUUUGUCUUGGUUUCGGGGUUUCUUUCGGAUCGGUCGGAUGGUGGUGUUCUUACUGCUACCGAGAAGACAAGUGUGUUGAAGCUUCAGGCUGGAUUGUUGGGCUUGGGGCGGUCACUCCAAAGAGAUCUUAAUCGGAUUGCUGAAACUGCAGAUACAUCUAGCUCUGGGGUUUGAGCUAUGUGUUGACAGAGACAACGCUAGCUUUGCUUCGGCAUCCUGAUUAUUGUAUCUCAGGUUAUUCAUCUGUGGAUUUAAAGAAGGGCAUGGAGGAUGGAGAGAAACGCUUUAAUCAACUUUCUAUUGAAGAACGGGGUAAAUUUGAUGAGGAAACACUUGUCAACGUGAACAACAUUAAAAAGCAAAGCACAGCCAGUCAGAGAUCUAAUGGAUUCAGCAAUGAGUACAUAGUGAUAACAAUCUUGGUGGCUGCUGAAGGAGUACAUAAGCUGCCCGCCAUCAAUGGCAGUGGGGACUUGAAAGAAGCCUUGCAAAAGCUUGGAUCCAUUCCCUCGAGCAAGAUAUUAGCAGUUGAGGUAUUGUGGACCCCUCAGAAUGAAAAUGACACGUUGUCGGAGCGGGAACUUCUCGAGGAUUAUCCACUUUUGAGGCCUCUGUAAUAGUAUUUCAACGGACUACCUUUUCCCAUGCAGGAAGAGGUAUGAGCUGAACUGCUCAUUGGAUUUAAAAUGACAUUUGAGUAAGAAAAAAUUGUCUAUAGUCCACAGAAAUGAUAUUUGUCUCAUCUCAUAUUUGAUAAGAUAGUUUCUUAAUGUACUGAAUUUGUAAGCUUUUAGGAACUGGUCUGUAUAUUUUACAUUAAAGCCUCAGCUUUCUUUCACCCAAUUGUUCAUUCUGCCAUCCAUUUGAGUUGUAAAGGUGGACGUUGGUAUUUUCACUUUAUAAUAUAUACCAUGAAUGAUGUUUUUAAUCUUGACAGAGAUGUAUAUUAUUUCUGAGCAUCAUUAUUUUCCUUCUCUA